This 82-nucleotide transfer RNA is filed under the name Prevotellaceae bacterium. Its description in RNAcentral is "tRNA-Leu". It matches the Rfam family "tRNA". Rfam says of the family: Transfer RNA (tRNA) molecules are approximately 80 nucleotides in length. Their secondary structure includes four short double-helical elements and three loops (D, anti-codon, and T loops). Further hydrogen bonds mediate the characteristic L-shaped molecular structure. tRNAs have two regions of fundamental functional importance: the anti-codon, which is responsible for specific mRNA codon recognition, and the 3' end, to which the tRNAs corresponding amino acid is attached (by aminoacyl-tRNA synthetases). tRNAs cope with the degeneracy of the genetic code in two manners: having more than one tRNA (with a specific anti-codon) for a particular amino acid; and 'wobble' base-pairing, i.e. permitting non-standard base-pairing at the 3rd anti-codon position. Lineage: Bacteria; Pseudomonadati; Bacteroidota; Bacteroidia; Bacteroidales; Prevotellaceae. The record is from RNAcentral.
GCGGCAUUGGCGUAAUUGGUAGCCGCGCCGGAUUUAGGAUCCGGUGAUGAAAAUCGUGCAGGUUCGAUUCCUGUAUGCCGCA